Molecule: ribosomal RNA, 253 nt
Filed under: uncultured bacterium
Lineage: Bacteria
Description: partial 16S ribosomal RNA
Rfam family: Bacterial small subunit ribosomal RNA
Source: RNAcentral
UACGAAGGGUGCAAGCGUUACUCGGAAUUACUGGGCGUAAAGCGUGCGUAGGUGGUUUGUUAAGUCUGAUGUGAAAGCCCUGGGCUCAACCUGGGAAUGGCAUUGGAUACUGGCGAGCUAGAGUGCGGUAGAGGGUAGUGGAAUUCCCGGUGUAGUGGUGGAAUGCGUAGAUAUCGGGAGGAAUACCAGUGGCGAAAGCGGCACCCUAGCGUUGUUCUGACGCUCAUGUGCGAAAGCGUGGGGAGCGAACGGG